CAGUAGCCGCGGUAAUACGAAGGUCCCGAGCGUUGUUCGGAAUCACUGGGCGUAAAGGGAGCGUAGGCGGCGUGGUAAGUCAGAUGUGAAAUCCCGGGGCUCAACCCCGGAACUGCAUCCGAUACUGCCAUGCUAGAGGAUUGGAGAGGUAGCUGGAAUUAUUGGUGUAGCAGUGAAAUGCGUGGAGAUCAAGAGGAACACUCGUGGCGAAAGCGAGCUACUGGACAAUAACUGACGCUGAGGCUCGAAGGCCAGGGUAGCGAAAGGGAUUAGAUACCCCAGUAGUCCCUGUCUCUUAUAC
Molecule: ribosomal RNA, 301 nt
Filed under: uncultured bacterium
Lineage: Bacteria
Description: partial 16S ribosomal RNA
Rfam family: Bacterial small subunit ribosomal RNA
Source: RNAcentral